RNAcentral lists this ribosomal RNA (500 nucleotides) under uncultured Glomeromycotina. RNAcentral's name for it is "partial small subunit ribosomal RNA". It matches the Rfam family "Eukaryotic small subunit ribosomal RNA", at positions 591 to 1092 of the family's 1831-position model. The record is from RNAcentral. Lineage: Eukaryota; Fungi; Glomeromycota.
CCAAUAGCGUAUAUUAAAGUUGUUGCAGUUAAAAAGCUCGUAGUUGAAUUUCGGGGUUAGUAGGUUGGUCGUGCCUUUGGUAUGUACUGGCUUUACUGAUUCCUCCUUCUUGAAGAACUGUAAUGUCAUUAAUUUGGUGUUGCAGGGACACAGGACUGUUACUUUGAAAAAAUUAGAGUGUUUAAAGCAGGCCAACGCCUGAAUACAUUAGCAUGGAAUAAUGAAAUAGGACGUUUAAUCCUAUUUUGUUGGUUUCUAGGAUUGACGUAAUGAUUAAUAGGGAUAGUUGGGGGCAUUAGUAUUCAAUUGUCAGAGGUGAAAUUCUUGGAUUUAUUGAAGACUAACUACUGCGAAAGCAUUUGCCAAGGAUGUUUUCAUUAAUCAAGAACGAAAGUUAGGGGAUCGAAGACGAUCAGAUACCGUCGUAGUCUUAACCAUAAACUAUGCCGACUAGGGAUCGGAUGAUGUUAAUUUUUUAAUGACUCAUUCGGCGCCUUACG